This 440-nucleotide ribosomal RNA is filed under the name uncultured bacterium. RNAcentral describes it as "partial 16S ribosomal RNA". It matches the Rfam family "Bacterial small subunit ribosomal RNA", at positions 338 to 795 of the family's 1533-position model. The record is from RNAcentral.
CCUACGGGAGGCAGCAGUGGGGAAUAUUGCACAAUGGGCGAAACCCUGAUCCAGCGACGCCGCGUGGGUGAAGAAGCGCCUCGGCGCGUAAAGCCCUGUCAGCAGGGAAGAAAAUGACGGUACCUGAAGAAGAAGCCCCGGCUAACUACGUGCCAGCAGCCGCGGUAAUACGUAGGGGGCAAGCGUUAUCCGGAUUUACUGGGUGUAAAGGGGGCGCAGACGGCGAUGCAAGCCAGGAGUGAAAGCCCGGGGCCCAACCCCGGGACUGCUCUUGGAACUGCGUGGCUAGAGUGCAGGAGGGGCAGGCGGAAUUCCUGGUGUAGCGGUGAAAUGCGUAGAUAUCAGGAGGAACACCGGUGGCGAAGGCGGCCUGCUGGACUGCAACUGACGUUGAGGCCCGAAAGCGUGGGGAGCAAACAGGAUUAGAUACCCGAGUAGUC